CCUGUUGAGGGGCGCUGCAACGGAGUUUUCUCCGCUACGCUCAACAAGAUGCCAACUUCAUUUGCAAGGGCGCCCAUUCUUC
This 82-nucleotide non-coding RNA is filed under the name Oceanospirillum multiglobuliferum. RNAcentral's name for it is "SAH sequence". It matches the Rfam family "SAH (S-adenosyl-L-homocysteine) riboswitch aptamer". Lineage: Bacteria; Pseudomonadati; Pseudomonadota; Gammaproteobacteria; Oceanospirillales; Oceanospirillaceae. The record is from Rfam by way of RNAcentral.